UCUGUGGUGAUGAAACGCGCAGGGGUACGGACCUCAGCCGAUGAUGGGGGCUGAGCGCGGCUGCAGCUCAUCAGAGGACGUGUGGUUCACUGACACAGCUGCAGCAGCGCGACACAGACGCCCAUCUGAACAGA
This is a small nucleolar RNA of Betta splendens (Siamese fighting fish), 134 nucleotides long. Ensembl annotates it as small nucleolar RNA SNORD94. The record is from Ensembl. Lineage: Eukaryota; Metazoa; Chordata; Actinopteri; Anabantiformes; Osphronemidae.